Long non-coding RNA from Acanthopagrus latus (yellowfin seabream), 1698 nucleotides. RefSeq lists it as uncharacterized. The transcript is spliced from 3 exons. NCBI's taxonomy places the organism in Eukaryota, Metazoa, Chordata, Actinopteri, Spariformes, Sparidae. The record is from RefSeq and is a predicted model, not a curated record.
GUCUGCUGGUUGCCUGGCAACUGCACCUGAUGACAGGACUUUAGGGAGUCACUGUGCCCAACCAAGAAAUAUAGUUUAUGACAACAACAUGCAUGCUUUCUGCAGAGCUCUUCGACUGAGAAGAACUGACUGGAGUUAACAACAUCCAUCCCUCCACGCUGCUGCGACAAUGGAGUUGCGGAGAGGCAAAGACAAAGCACUCGUCACUCAUCUGUGGUCUGUAUGUGUCCAUCUGGAAAAGACAUUGGAACAAACAGGUUGUAGGGGCAACUGGAGGCUCUCUGUCUCCUCUCUCUCUUUCGCUCUUGAAAUGCCUCCCAGACCUGGUGGUGUCUGUGACAGGCCCUCUCCUGGUGAGCUAGCCUCCAUGAUGAAUGGCCACCUUUCCACUCUUUAUCGCCCCACUAAAUCAUGCGCUUACCAUGCUUUUAUGACCAAUUUUUGCUGCUUUGUUUUACUCCCCCCGUUUUUUGAAUGAAACUCCAUUUGCAGUGUUUUUUUUGGGGGGUUUUUUUGCAUACUGUUCUUUACAUCAUAUUGAUCUCUGAGGGUUUAUCAUUGUAUUGGUAUUCGGGUGGAGAGCUGAGAUCUAGCUUUAUUAAUCAAAUUCACUGAGACAAACGUGUAUAUGUUGUGUUGUCACAUUACAGUGCCACUCACUGAAACGCUCAGUCCUGCUGUGUGUUUACCUGUUAGCCUGUUUGCUAACAGCUAAAUAUAUUCUACAGCUUUAAAGACAUGCAUGUGUCAAACCUUGUUUGGUCUGGAGAAAUGUUCCCUAGAAAAUGCUGUUAUCUAAAGACCAAAUAUCUCCAGAAUACUUAUUUUCAUUUAUUCGAUGUAUCAGGUACAUAGCACUGCUGUCUUUUAUUUCUAUUGUGGAUUCUAUAAUGACAUAAAUUGUUUAUGUGAACGAGGGUCACAUUUGGAGUUGGUUGAAGCCUAGAGCCCAGACUGUAUGACUGUCUUUCCAUUUUGCAUGCAUUGGAGUUGGGAUUGCAUGGAAGGAGACAUUAUUUUCAUCUAACAUAUGUAUAUAGAAAGAAAGAAAGAAAGAAAGAAAGAAAGAAAGAAAGAAAGAAAGAAAGAAGAACACAAAAAAGACAAGAGGUCCACAUCACUGAGUCAAACAAAUGAAAGAGGGUUACUGGAGAGAUUUUACCCAAACAUAUGAUUACUAUGUUGAAUUAAUUAAAUAAGGUAUCAAUCAAUAAUACUUAAAGAAUACUACUAUUUUUUAAAGACAAAAAGGGACACACAUAAAUAUUAAGUACAUUUUAUCUCUAAAACUGUUUUUAAACUAGCUUGAUGAUGCAGUGCUGUAAUCAUCUUCGGUUCCAGCACAGAUUAGAGGAGAGGCAGGUUCGCUCAGAUAUAGUGUACUUUUUCUCCCCCUAGUGGACGAAGAUAAAUCCUGUCAUGCCAGUUGUCCUGAAUGAUGUUCCUCUCUGUGAGAUUGAUUUCCUUAUCCACAGGGAUUAAUCGAUUAAUGAAAAAAAAACAUUUAAAACUAACAUUUAUUUAUUUUAUGACUGAUUUAUAUUAUAUUCAGUUAACACACUGCUAAGACUUUUAAAGGAGAAUUGUUUAGUUAUUGCAUCACAGUGUACAUGUUUAAUUUUAAGGAAAGGUUUUUAGAUUCACAAGCUAGACAGUAAAUGUUCAUUAGUCAUUUUUAACCCUCUCCGUGAUGGGAUC